This is a ribosomal RNA of Nannospalax galili (Upper Galilee mountains blind mole rat), 118 nucleotides long. NCBI's taxonomy places the organism in Eukaryota, Metazoa, Chordata, Mammalia, Rodentia, Spalacidae. The record is from Ensembl.
GUCUGGCACUAUACCACUUGGAAUGCACCUGAUCUUAUCUGAUCUUAGAAGCUAAGCAAAGCCAGGCUUGGUUAGUACUUGGACAGGAGACAGCCAGGGCUGAAGGAUAUAACAAAUA